This 457-nucleotide ribosomal RNA is filed under the name uncultured Enterobacteriaceae bacterium. RNAcentral's name for it is "bacterial SSU rRNA". It matches the Rfam family "Bacterial small subunit ribosomal RNA", at positions 923 to 1382 of the family's 1533-position model. Lineage: Bacteria; Pseudomonadati; Pseudomonadota; Gammaproteobacteria; Enterobacterales; Enterobacteriaceae. The record is from RNAcentral.
GCACAAGCGGUGGAGCAUGUGGUUAAUUCGAUGCAACGCGAAGAACCUUACCUGGUCUUGACAUCCACGGAAGUUUUCAGAGAUGAGAAUGUGCCUUCGGGAACCGUGAGACAGGUGCUGCAUGGCUGUCGUCAGCUCGUGUUGUGAAAUGUUGGGUUAAGUCCCGCAACGAGCGCAACCCUUAUCCUUUGUUGCCAGCGGUCCGGCCGGGAACUCAAAGGAGACUGCCAGUGAUAAACUGGAGGAAGGUGGGAUGACGUCAAGUCAUCAUGGCCCUUACGACCAGGGCUACACACGUGCUACAAUGGCGCAUACAAAGAGAAGCGACCUCGCGAGAGCAAGCGGACCUCAUAAAGUGCGUCGUAGUCCGGAUUGGAGUCUGCAACUCGACUCCAUGAAGUCGGAAUCGCUAGUAAUCGUGGAUCAGAAUGCCACGGUGAAUACGUUCCCGGGCCUU